This 467-nucleotide ribosomal RNA is filed under the name uncultured bacterium. Its description in RNAcentral is "partial 16S ribosomal RNA". It matches the Rfam family "Bacterial small subunit ribosomal RNA", at positions 29 to 507 of the family's 1533-position model. The record is from RNAcentral.
ACGAACGCUGGCGGCGUGCUUAACACAUGCAAGUCGAACGGAAAGGCCCUGCUUUUGUGGGGUGCUCGAGUGGCGAACGGGUGAGUAACACGUGAGUAACCUGCCCUUGACUUUGGGAUAACUUCAGGAAACUGGGGCUAAUACCGGAUAGGAGCUCCUGCUGCAUGGUGGGGGUUGGAAAGUUUCGGCGGUUGGGGAUGGACUCGCGGCUUAUCAGCUUGUUGGUGGGGUAGUGGCUUACCAAGGCUUUGACGGGUAGCCGGCCUGAGAGGGUGACCGGCCACAUUGGGACUGAGAUGCGGCCCAGACUCCUACGGGAGGCAGCAGUGGGGAAUAUUGCACAAUGGGCGGAAGCCUGAUGCAGCAACGCCGCGUGCGGGAUGACGGCCUUCGGGUUGUAAACCGCUUUCGCCUGUGACGAAGCGUGAGUGACGGUAAUGGGUAAAGAAGCACCGGCUAGCUACGUG